ACUGGGAGGAGCUGGGAAACGCUAUCUUCUGGGCACAGGAAUGUCAAAAGGUGAUAUCACAGCACAGAGGACUGCCAGCACGGGAUUGCACAACACUGGGCUUAUCAACAGCUAACCACGGACAGGAAAAGGUUCUCAGUGACUGGUGGAUUCUGGGAAGGGAUAGUCAUUGUCUUCAGUUGUGUACCCAAGGUGAGCCAGCUAGGCUCCAGAGGAGAGUUCUGCAGACACACAGAUAGCCCUGGUUAAAAUCAGUGGUUCACAAAACAGAACAAUAUACCAGGAGCUGGAGUAUGGUGAGCAGUUACAGAAAGAAACCACUCAAAGAAAGCUGCAUCACAAAACUCCAUCUCAGGGUGGGAGCCAGUUCUGGGAAGCUGCAGGACACUAGCUCACCAGGUACCUGGGCUUGUCUGAGAGUUACUUUUAGUGUGUGUGUGUGUGUGUUUGGAGCGGGAGGGACCCAGUGAAUCUGGUCAGUUUCAGGAACUUCCUAAAGCUAGCUUGAGCUGCUUACUUCCGGUCUUAAUGAUCUUCCAUGCAGGACAGAAUGGGUCAAUCUGGAGGAUAUUUCUACAUAGCAAAGAGAAAGGGGGAAGAUGGAAGACAGCAAUAGGAGUGGAAAGAUAUGCUCUUACACAAACAUAGGCACAUACACAAAUAUACACACAAAUAUAUUAAAAAAUAUCACAAAGAAAACCACUUCUUUGUGUGCUAAUAAAAAUCAAUUAAAAACUUAAAAAUGAUUAUAUACGUACAUUUAUAUGUAUAUGUAUAUAUAUAUAUAUGAAUUGGGUUUUUUCUUUUUUGAGACUUUGCUUAUCUAUGUAUCCUGGCUUGGAUUUGCCUUUUAGGCCAGUCUGGCUUUGCACUUCCUGGGCACCUGCUUUUUCAUUCAUUUUUAACAUUAGCAUAUAAAGUAAUGUGUUUCAUUAUCAUUUUCAAUUUAGACUCGCAGAGCAUUUCCUGCUCUGAGGACGCCACAGUGGGGAAGGGGUUUGCCUGUCGAUAUAAGAAGUAUAAGAAGCCAUAUUUUAUAGCUUUAAGGCUGUAUGAGAUUCCUUCUCAAUUUAUAGUGAGAUCUUCACACAUCUAUUCUAAAUGCAAGUUCAAAUGGAAAUGCUUCACGGCUCCCAGCCAGCGGAAGAGAGAGGGAAAGGAAGGAUAUAAUAAUUUAAGCCUGGUUCUAUGCUGACAGAUUCGAGGCAAUAGGCACACAGGCAGCUUUACCUUUCAGGGCCAGGCAGCUUCCAGGUUUAGGGGUGCUUAUGAAAAUGAGGAUUUGCGAGUGCUGAGUGGCUAUCUUGACUUUCGAGUAAGAGGGCAGGACAUAUUGAUGGCUCAUUCAAGGAUGCUCCACAGCGCUCCUGAUUUGUCAUUGUGAGACAAUCAGGUUCUUUCUUUUCUGGUGGUUUGUCUACUGCUAUGCUUUGUUUCAUUUCUGUUGUUCUCGUGCAAUGUUCUAAAAUUCUGAGACUGUCUGAAGGCAAGAUGAAGAUUCAGGGAAAAUUGGGGGAAUAAGAAAAGAGAGAGGAGAGCCACGUAAGGAGGCAUCUGGUUGAUGCCUCUCACCAGGAACUGCUCAAGAAUUCCAGCUUAAGACCAUUGACCCUUUCCAGGCACACAGCUGAAAACUCCCAGGAACCACACAAGAAACCCACUUAUUUACGGGCAAAGGAGCUGUGUUAACCCUCUUGGGCAACCUUAUUUGUUUCUGGUUUCAUCCGAUUAUAUUUCCAUGCAAAGCACCUGUGAUGGUUUGUAUAUCCUUGGACCAGGGAGUGGCACCAUCUGAAGGUGUGGCCUUGUUGGAAUAGGUGUGACCUGGUUGGAAUGGGUGUGUCACUGUGGGUGUGGGUAUAAGAUCCUCACCUUAGUUACCUGGAAGUCGGUCUUCCAAUAGCAGCCUUUGGAUGAAGACAUAGAACUCUCGGCUCCUCCUGCACUAUGCCUGCCUGGAUACUGCCAUGCUCCCACCUUGAUGAUAAUAGACUGAACCUCUGAACCUGUAAGCCAGCCCCAAUUAAAUGUUGUUUUUUUAUAAGACUUGCCUUGGUCAUGGUGUCUGUUCACAGCAGUAAAACCCUAACUAAGACAACACCUUUGGAGUUGCCUUCUCUAUCAGUCACUCUUACCAAAGGGAGAGGGGUGGGGGUUUCUUGGCACCAAUAUAAAAUGUAACUUGAGAGCCACCAACACGGUCUACAUAGCUAAUGCUCAGGCAAUUACUGGCCUCCUCUCCCUUGAGAAGUACUUGGUACUGCUUACGUCACCCCAUGUGCCUUUGGGAAGCACGUUGCCCCGCUUUGUAUGUCAAACUUUAUUCCGAGAGCCCCUCUUUUGUUGAGCCCUUCUGUAUAACCCUGGAUUAAAAUAUCUCUAAUAAAAUCCUCAACUUAUUUCCUAAUCUGAUAAGCCCUGAAAUUAUUUUCAUCUUCAAAGCUACAAAACCAAGUCUGGCUUGAGUUAGAUCCUUAAGAAUUAGGAGAACUUUUCGAUGUACUGAUGGUCACAGUGUGAAGAAAUGUCUCUCCCCUCGCUGUCGUCUCUUUCUUUUCUAGGUAACAGA
Molecule: long non-coding RNA, 2569 nt
Organism: Mus musculus (house mouse)
Lineage: Eukaryota; Metazoa; Chordata; Mammalia; Rodentia; Muridae
Product: predicted gene, 40124
Exons: 3
Source: RefSeq, a predicted model, not a curated record